RNAcentral lists this transfer RNA (71 nucleotides) under Loxodonta africana (African savanna elephant). It matches the Rfam family "tRNA". From Rfam's summary of the family: Transfer RNA (tRNA) molecules are approximately 80 nucleotides in length. Their secondary structure includes four short double-helical elements and three loops (D, anti-codon, and T loops). Further hydrogen bonds mediate the characteristic L-shaped molecular structure. tRNAs have two regions of fundamental functional importance: the anti-codon, which is responsible for specific mRNA codon recognition, and the 3' end, to which the tRNAs corresponding amino acid is attached (by aminoacyl-tRNA synthetases). tRNAs cope with the degeneracy of the genetic code in two manners: having more than one tRNA (with a specific anti-codon) for a particular amino acid; and 'wobble' base-pairing, i.e. permitting non-standard base-pairing at the 3rd anti-codon position. Lineage: Eukaryota; Metazoa; Chordata; Mammalia; Proboscidea; Elephantidae. The record is from Rfam by way of RNAcentral.
GUGUUGGUGGUUCAGCAGUAGAACUCUCACCUUCCAUAUGGGAGACCUGGGUUUGAUUCCUGGCCAAUGCA